UACGUAGGGGGCAAGCGUUAUCCGGAUUUACUGGGUGUAAAGGGAGCGUAGACGGCAGCGCAAGUCUGGAGUGAAAUGCCGGGGCCCAACCCCGGAACUGCUUUGGAAACUGUGCAGCUCGAGUGCAGGAGAGGUAAGCGGAAUUCCUAGUGUAGCGGUGAAAUGCGUAGAUAUUAGGAGGAACACCGGUGGCGAAGGCGGCUUACUGGACUGUAACUGACGUUGAGGCUCGAAAGCGUGGGGAGCAAACAGG
Molecule: ribosomal RNA, 253 nt
Filed under: uncultured bacterium
Lineage: Bacteria
Description: partial 16S ribosomal RNA
Rfam family: Bacterial small subunit ribosomal RNA
Source: RNAcentral